UACGUAGGGGGCAAGCGUUGUCCGGAAUCAUUGGGCGUAAAGCGCGUGUAGGCGGCCCGGUAAGUCCGCUGUGAAAGUCCAGGGCUCAACCCUGGGAUGCCGGUGGAUACUGUCGGGCUCGAGUCCGGAAGAGGAGUGUGGAAUUCCUGGUGUAGCGGUGAAAUGCGCAGAUAUCAGGAGGAACACCAAUGGCGAAGGCAGCACUCUGGGACGUGACUGACGCUGAGACGCGAAAGCGUGGGGAGCAAACAGG
RNAcentral lists this ribosomal RNA (253 nucleotides) under uncultured bacterium. RNAcentral's name for it is "partial 16S ribosomal RNA". It matches the Rfam family "Bacterial small subunit ribosomal RNA", at positions 524 to 776 of the family's 1533-position model. The record is from RNAcentral.